This 460-nucleotide ribosomal RNA is filed under the name uncultured bacterium. RNAcentral's name for it is "partial 16S ribosomal RNA". It matches the Rfam family "Bacterial small subunit ribosomal RNA", at positions 338 to 795 of the family's 1533-position model. The record is from RNAcentral.
CCUACGGGCGGCAGCAGUGAGGAAUAUUGGUCAAUGGUCGGGAGACUGAACCAGCCAAGCCGCGUGAGGGAUGAAGGUACAGAGUAUCGUAAACCUCUUUUGUCAGGGAACAAAGGCGGGGACGUGUCCCCGGAUGAGUGUACCUGAAGAAACAGCAUAGGCGAACUCCGUGCCAGCAGCCGCGGUAAUACGUAGGGUGCGAGCGUUAAUCGGAAUUACUGGGCGUAAAGGGUGUGCAGGUGGGUUUGCAAGAUGGAUGUGAAAGCCCCGGGCGUAACCUGGGAAAGCCAUACAUGACUGCAAGACUAGAGUGCGUCAGAGGUGGGUGGAAUUCCAAGUGUAGCAGUGAAAUGCGUAGAUAUUUGGAAGAACACCGAUGGCGAAGGCAGCCCCCUGGGACGCAACUGACGCUCAGACACGAAAGCGUGGGGAGCAAACAGGAUUAGAUACCCCGGUAGUC